CCCGCCUCAGCCUCCUGAGCACUGGGAUUACAGACAGGAUCCCGCUAAGUUGCUUGGGCUGAUGUCAACUUCGGGAUUCUCCUGCCUCAGCCUCCCAGAGUGCUAGGACUACAGUGUACACCACCACCCCUGGCUACAUUGAAUCCUUUUAAAACUCAGCCUAGUCCCCAGCUACACUCUGUGUGAAAUCACCAUUUGACUCGUUUUCCCCUGAUUUUUCUUGGGAUCUUGUCUUGUUCAACUACCCACUCCCCUUGUGGCCCAUAUUCUGAGAAACCAGCGGAGAGGACAAAGGUUCUGGGCUCAGGCCACACAGCCUCCUCCCUGCUCUCCCUGGCACCUGGGGCUUCAGUAAAGCAGUACGGCCUUUCCUACCGCGGUGGCCGCGCUGGGAGCCUGGCAGGGUGGCUGCCCCUUCCCCCCCGGCCCUGGGGUCCUGUCCCCAUCCCUGCAGAGUAGCGUGGGCUGGGCUCUCAGGCCUCCUUUCAGCCCCAGGGAGCCCCCCACGGCCUGGCCAGGGGGAGGUGGGUGCGCCCCUUGCCCUGACGUCCUCAGUGAGACCCCGUGGGGCCGCCUGCUGGAGGACGGGCUCGGCCUUGGCUCUCACCCCGCUGCCCUGAGCAGGUCUCGGCCUCUCCCUCCGUGAGUUUUCUCGCAGAUGAGGGAAGGCCCAGCGAGGGGACCCGGCCUGGCCCUACUUCCUCUGCUCCCCAGCGCAGGAGGGGCGCGAAGGGACAGGGGCUCCCUCCUCUCCUGUUGAGCAACGGAUUUCUCUUUCUCUUCUGGUUUCGGAGGUGCAGAGUGGGAGGCAGCGGGUGGGGAGAGGAAGCCGAGGCGGCCACUCAGCGCCUCUCCGAACCCCCGCCCCGCCCGCACUCUCUCCUGACGCAGAGGGUCCCCCGGGAUGGCCGCGUGGGAGGCAAGCCUGUCCAGCCCUCCAGAUGCCCCUCUGCAUCUCCACGGGAGCUGACGGAGAUCAUCGGGUCUCAUCUCCCCUGUUACCUUCACAGGAGGGAAACUGAGGCACAGGGCAGUACGACUUCGGGUCCUGCAGCAACUCGGCAGCACAGCACAGCAGGACCUUGGGCUCCUGACUCCGCUCAGCCCUGCUGGGGGGCAUCUGCUUGCCCUGCCCGCCCGAGGGUGGGAGGAGAGGGGCAGCUAUAAAAAUGCUCUCACGGCCUCUUCA
Long non-coding RNA from Chinchilla lanigera (long-tailed chinchilla), 1189 nucleotides. RefSeq lists it as uncharacterized. The record is from RefSeq and is a predicted model, not a curated record. Lineage: Eukaryota; Metazoa; Chordata; Mammalia; Rodentia; Chinchillidae. The transcript has 2 exons.